UCUUGAUGUGAUGUCCUUUCUUUAAAAGGAAAAUCUACACAGCACUAUACUAAAAUAUCAUAGUUAAUAUUAAAAUAAACUGUGAUGUGGAAGAAUUAAUUCUGGGCCUAACUUGCUGAAACAUGUGAUUUCUGUAGACCCCUACCAAAUCCCCUUCACCAACUGGCAACAGAAGCAGGACAUCUUCAUUUACAGACCAGAGUGAUGAAGGCACUUUAACACCAGAUAAAGAGUAUGUUUUUCCAGACAAACAGGAGAAGCAAAGGAUUCCCCACAGGAUGUGCCAAGUUAUAUUGGAAGAACAUUAUCAUGCUCUAAAUACAGUGGCUACACUUGGAACGAUCAGAGGGGGAGAGAAGGAGAAAUAAGAUUAAGAAUGGAAACAGUACUAAAGUAAUCUCAGAUUUGCAGUUAUCCCUGGGCUUAGGGAGCUUCUAGAAGAAUUUUAUUUGUGAAAUAUCUUCUGUAAUUAAAAAAUGAGAAAGCAGUUUGCUAAGGAAUAGAAAUCUCCAGUUUUUAGUAAGGACUAUUGUUAUGUCAAAUGGAAAGUUUUACAAAAAUAAAGAUAAAAUAAGACAUGGAAGCUGCUUCAGAUAUUCUUUGUAAAUCUUAACAGAACAGUUAAAAGUAAAUCAUAAUUGGAAUUUGUUUGGUUUGAUUAUUUUUCAUAAAAUUUAGUUCAAUACCAGUAACUAUGCUUGAAAGACAUACGCAUAUAUUUUUAUAUACAUUCUCUCCCUUGUAUUUUAAUGUGCCUCUGAU
This is a long non-coding RNA of Nothoprocta perdicaria, 762 nucleotides long. RefSeq lists it as uncharacterized. The transcript is spliced from 2 exons. The record is from RefSeq and is a predicted model, not a curated record. NCBI's taxonomy places the organism in Eukaryota, Metazoa, Chordata, Aves, Tinamiformes, Tinamidae.